RNAcentral lists this long non-coding RNA (575 nucleotides) under Bos taurus (domestic cattle). Its description in RNAcentral is "long non-coding RNA NONBTAT002892". Lineage: Eukaryota; Metazoa; Chordata; Mammalia; Artiodactyla; Bovidae. The record is from RNAcentral.
AUUGUUAAUUGCACAGUGAACAAAUCUCCCUUAUUAAAAAUAUGUAUUCUCCCAAACAAAAGAUAGGCUUAUCAGGUAAGGGCAAUCUUGCAUUCAACUUGGUAUCACCAGAUCAGAGAACCUAGCAUGUAGAUCCACACUAUUAUUCUUCUGAAUUGUUGGAUAAAAUGUUUCAGGAAACUUGAAAUGUCCUGGAGAAUCCAAAUUGUUUAGUCAGUUUACAUUUCGGCAGCCAACUCAGUCAUAAAAUAAUCCCUUCUUUGCUGCCAAAGGUUUUCUUGAGAGGAGCUCUUCUUCCGAGUGGUGUGAAGAAUUGCAGUUACCCAUGUCAAAAGGCUCAUGUGUAAAUGCAGCAAGAUAGUACACAAAAGCACAGCUUAACUGGGCCAUGCACACACGAGGUUGCAGGGGUUGCUGAGAUUGGCAGUCUCUUUAUGCCCCAGACAUGAAAAUGGCUAUAAUGGUCAAACUGAAUUUUCUGCUACAUUCCCUGGAAGUAGUCAAGAAUCCAGCAGUUAAAAGGCUGUACAUGUGCAAGCUGGUAUUGCUCAGUUUACAUAGUAACGACAAUCCAU